UGUUUUUGUUUUUUCGCUUAGAAUACGCAAUCGGCAAUUUUCGUUUUUCAAGUCGUCGGGUAUGCAAUAUACAACUUCGUGAAACGAAGCAACUAAGAAUACAAGUUAAAUUUUUGCUAUGCCUUGUUUGAAAUGGGUUUUAUUUUUUUAUUGCUAUAAUUUUAGCUAAGACAUUAGAGAAAAAAUGCAUUUAAUAAGUGAAUUUGUCGUUUUCGGUGCGUUUCGUUGCGUUGUUUUCGGUGCGUUUUCGUUUUGUAAAAUUGUCGCAAUAUUAACAGAACUCUCGGUGACGUUGCAUUUUCGGCUAAAUAAAUACUGGCGCUAAUAUUGCGUUCGCAGAGAGUGCGUGAGAAAACUUAAAAACAAAUUACAAAUAUUAUCGAAAUAAUUGAGCAGGCACUGCUACGACUUUAAAAGCUCAAGAGCCAUCAAUUUCUGGCCGUAAGGAUCCAUUAACUUGAAGCCGCGAUCUAAAUCGUUACCCGCUGAGCCAGGACCGUUAGCUUCGUAAUCCUUAAAGAAUUCUUCCAACUAUGCAGAAAUCACAAACUCAAAGCUCCUCACCACAUAUUGUUAAGUUCAGCAAGCAUGGCUUUUUAUGUGUCACCUAUGCUCAGAUAAGCCACUUAUCACAAAUGUAUGUUUGAAGGCAUAUAUCGUCAAUUCGUUGCAAAUUUAGACAAAAUUUCUCUUAAGAACUGGAA
This is a long non-coding RNA of Glossina fuscipes, 704 nucleotides long. RefSeq lists it as uncharacterized. The transcript has 4 exons. NCBI's taxonomy places the organism in Eukaryota, Metazoa, Arthropoda, Insecta, Diptera, Glossinidae. The record is from RefSeq and is a predicted model, not a curated record.